UACGUAGGGGGGCGAGCGUUGUCCGGAGUUACUGGGCGUAAAAGGGCAUGCAGGCGGUCGGACGCGUUUUCGGGGUGACAGCGGGGUGGCUUUAACUACCCCGAGUGGUCGAAAAGACGGUUUUGACUUGAGGACGCGAGAGGGGACACGGAAAUUCCCGGGGUGGAGUGGUGAAAAUGCGUAGAGAUCCGGGAGGGAAACACCCGAAAGGCGAAAGGGCAGUGUCCCUGGCGCGUAAACUGACGCUGAGGGUGCGAAAAGCCAGGGGGAGCGAACGGGG
RNAcentral lists this ribosomal RNA (280 nucleotides) under uncultured bacterium. RNAcentral's name for it is "partial 16S ribosomal RNA". It matches the Rfam family "Bacterial small subunit ribosomal RNA", at positions 524 to 777 of the family's 1533-position model. The record is from RNAcentral.